RNAcentral lists this unclassified non-coding RNA (237 nucleotides) under uncultured fungus. RNAcentral describes it as "sequence contains ITS1". Lineage: Eukaryota; Fungi. The record is from RNAcentral.
GUUUUGAUAUUCCUCUCCAAAAACAAUCACUUUUUUAUCAGGCAACCACGUUUUUCUUUUCUUCCUUUCUUUUUGGGUAUUUAAAAUAGAGUUGUUUGCGUUUCCUCCUUUUCACAAGAAAAAGAAAAAAAAAAAGACAAGUCAGAAAAAGACCCAUCCCCCCUUCCUUUUUUCCUUGCAAAAAGAAAAGAAAACAAAAUUUCAAUGAUGAUCCUUCCGCAGGUUCACCUACGGAAA